This 253-nucleotide ribosomal RNA is filed under the name uncultured bacterium. Its description in RNAcentral is "partial 16S ribosomal RNA". It matches the Rfam family "Bacterial small subunit ribosomal RNA", at positions 524 to 776 of the family's 1533-position model. The record is from RNAcentral.
UACGAAGGGGGCUAGCGUUGUUCGGAAUUACUGGGCGUAAAGCGCACGUAGGCGGCUUUCUAAGUCAGGGGUGAAAUCCUGGAGCUCAACUCCAGAACUGCCUUUGAUACUGGGAAGCUCGAGUCCGGAAGAGGUGAGUGGAACUCCGAGUGUAGAGGUGAAAUUCGUAGAUAUUCGGAAGAACACCAGUGGCGAAGGCGGCUCACUGGUCCGGUACUGACGCUGAGGUGCGAAAGCGUGGGGAGCAAACAGG